Molecule: ribosomal RNA, 253 nt
Filed under: uncultured bacterium
Lineage: Bacteria
Description: partial 16S ribosomal RNA
Rfam family: Bacterial small subunit ribosomal RNA
Source: RNAcentral
UACGUAGGGGGCAAGCGUUGUCCGGAUUUAUUGGGCGUAAAGAGCGUGUAGGCGGCCUGGAAGGUCAGCUGUGAAAACUCGAGGCUCAACCUCGAGACGUCGGUUGAAACCACCUGGCUAGAGUCCGGAAGAGGAGAGUGGAAUUCCCGGUGUAGCGGUGAAAUGCGCAGAUAUCGGGAGGAACACCGGUGGCGAAGGCGGGUCUCUGGGCCGAUACUGACGCUGAGGAGCGAAAGCGUGGGGAGCGAACAGG